GGAAAUGUGCCUGAACGCCAUAGGACUACUUUGAUAGAGUAAGACAUAGAGGUUAAAAUCCACUCAUUUCCU
Molecule: transfer RNA, 72 nt
Filed under: Basiliscus galeritus
Lineage: Eukaryota; Metazoa; Chordata; Lepidosauria; Squamata; Corytophanidae
Description: tRNA-Ile
Rfam family: tRNA
About the family: Transfer RNA (tRNA) molecules are approximately 80 nucleotides in length. Their secondary structure includes four short double-helical elements and three loops (D, anti-codon, and T loops). Further hydrogen bonds mediate the characteristic L-shaped molecular structure. tRNAs have two regions of fundamental functional importance: the anti-codon, which is responsible for specific mRNA codon recognition, and the 3' end, to which the tRNAs corresponding amino acid is attached (by aminoacyl-tRNA synthetases). tRNAs cope with the degeneracy of the genetic code in two manners: having more than one tRNA (with a specific anti-codon) for a particular amino acid; and 'wobble' base-pairing, i.e. permitting non-standard base-pairing at the 3rd anti-codon position.
Source: RNAcentral